This 497-nucleotide ribosomal RNA is filed under the name uncultured bacterium. RNAcentral's name for it is "partial 16S ribosomal RNA". It matches the Rfam family "Bacterial small subunit ribosomal RNA", at positions 28 to 507 of the family's 1533-position model. The record is from RNAcentral.
GAUGAACGCUGGCGGCGUGCCUAAUACAUGCAAGUCGAGCGAACAGACGAGGAGCUUGCUCCUCUGACGUUAGCGGCGGACGGGUGAGUAACACGUGGAUAACCUACCUAUAAGACUGGGAUAACUUCGGGAAACCGGAGCUAAUACCGGAUAAUAUAUUGAACCGCAUGGUUCAAUAGUGAAAGACGGUUUUGCUGUCACUUAUAGAUGGAUCCGCGCCGCAUUAGCUAGUUGGUAAGGUAACGGCUUACCAAGGCAACGAUGCGUAGCCGACCUGAGAGGGUGACCGCCCACACGGAAACGGAGACAGGGCCCACCCUCCGACGGGAGGCAGCAGUAGGGAUCUUUCCGCAAUGGGCGAAGGCCUGACGGACCACCGCCGCGGGAUUGAGGAAGGUCUUGGAAUCGAAAAACUCUUUUAUUGGGAAAAAAAAAAUGUUUAAGUACCUAUGCCCGUCUUGACGUUCCCUAACAAGAAAGCCACGGCAAACUCCGUC